CACGUUGGUACUACCCUCUAGUGGGGAAUAACUUCGAGAAAUCGAGGCUAAUACCGCAUAAUAUCUACGGAUUAAAGCAUUUAUGCGCUAGAGAGGGGCCUGCGUCUGAUUAGCUUGUUGGUGAGGUAAAAGCUCACCAAGGCGACGAUCAGUAGCUGGAUCGAGAGGUUGACCAGCCACACUGGGACUGAGAUACGGCCCAGACUCCUACGGGAGGCAGCAGUAAGGAAUCUUCCACAAUGGGCGAAAGCCUGAUGGAGCAAUGCCGCGUGCAGGAUGACGGCCUUCGGGUUGUAAACUGCUUUUAUAUGGGAAGAUUAUGACGGUACCAUAUGAAUAAGGACCGGCUAACUACGUG
Molecule: ribosomal RNA, 358 nt
Filed under: uncultured bacterium
Lineage: Bacteria
Description: bacterial SSU rRNA
Rfam family: Bacterial small subunit ribosomal RNA
Source: RNAcentral